Long non-coding RNA from Ceratina calcarata, 285 nucleotides. RefSeq lists it as uncharacterized. The transcript has 2 exons. NCBI's taxonomy places the organism in Eukaryota, Metazoa, Arthropoda, Insecta, Hymenoptera, Apidae. The record is from RefSeq and is a predicted model, not a curated record.
UUGUUUUAUCAGCUUAUGAAACCACUCUGAAAGAGGGGCUUCAUUUCGAGAAGAGGAUGUUCCACGGCACAUUUGCGACGGCUGACAGGAAGGAAGGGAUGUCCGCGUUCGUCGAGAAAAGAUCGCCGAAAUUCACCAACCAGUAGAACUGAGUAUACUCAACUUAACGUUAACGUGCAAUCGAAUACUUAUUUUUGUAUUGAGAAUUUUGUAAUACUUUUUAUAUUGUUGUUCAAAUAAAAAUGGUUCCUAAUCGUUUUAAAUGAAGGGGGCAAAGACAAGACG